Molecule: ribosomal RNA, 466 nt
Filed under: uncultured bacterium
Lineage: Bacteria
Description: bacterial SSU rRNA
Rfam family: Bacterial small subunit ribosomal RNA
Source: RNAcentral
UGGAGGAAAGUAGGGGAUCGAAAGACCUUAUGCUUUUGGAGCGGCCGAUGUCUGAUUAGCUAGUUGGUAAGGUAAAGGCUUACCAAGGCGACGAUCAGUAGUUGGUCUGAGAGGACGACCAGCCACACUGGGACUGAGACACGGCCCAGACUCCUACGGGAGGCAGCAGUGGGGAAUUUUGGACAAUGGGCGAAAGCCUGAUCCAGCAAUGCCGCGUGAGUGAAGAAGGCCUUCGGGUUGUAAAGCUCUUUCAGUUGAAAAGAAAAAGCCGUGACUAAUAAUCAUGGUUCAUGACGGUAUCAACAGAAGAAGCACCGGCUAACUACGUGCCAGCAGCCGCGGUAAUACGUAGGGUGCAAGCGUUAAUCGGAAUUACUGGGCGUAAAGGGUGCGCAGGCGGUUCUGUAAGUCAGAUGUGAAAUCCCCGGGCUUAACCUGGGAACUGCGUUUGAAACUACAAGGCUAG